CUGCAUCUAGAAGCUUUGCAUAAACAAAUAAUGGUGGCACAUGGCUUUGAAAAUUGAACACGGUUUUCACCCACCAAACUUUGAUGAACACAGUUUUAAAGAAGUUUUGAUACCCACGGCUUUGACUUUCUUGGCCAUCAUUUUGCUAUAAAUACAAGUGCAAAUGAAGAGCUUAUUCAUUCCAUUAUUCAGAGAGCAACUUAGGGAGUCGAGAGAGAAUUCAAGAGCUUGCAUUUAUAAGCUCUUAUUACAGUGAUUGAGAGAGUUUGGCUGUAUUGGAGUUUUUGGAAAGUGAGCUAAAAUACUACAAUACUUGUAACUCCUUUUCACCAGUAAAAUAUUUCCUUCUGUCUUCGCCCGUGGAUGUAGGCUAAAAGCCGAACCACGUAAUUUCUGGUAUCCUCUAUUGUGCUUGUUCUUUAUUGUUUCUACCAAUUUUACUUUAGCUGCGUGUCUGCUUCACCCACCAAUUUCCUAACAGCAAGAUACUAGAUUGUACAUGUAAAUAAGGUAUAAUAUAUCAGAGAUUAUUUUGUUGGAUUUGUCCAUGAAUUUUAUUUUGGGAUUGCCACAUAUAGCACUGGAUGAGAUUCUAUUUUUGUGGUUGUUGAGAGUUUUUCCAAGAUGACAUAUUUUAUUACUUGUAAAAAAGCCUAAUGAUGCUUUUAAUGUGACGAACUUGUUCUUUCAAGAGGUGGUGCCUUUGCAUGAUGUUUCAAAGAUAUAUUACUUCUCUCAGAAAUGUAAAGUUCAUCAGUAAGCUUAGGCGACAUUGGUGGGAUAAGUUUAGUACCAAGUUACAAUUUUGUAGUGCUUUUAAUUUCUAGAUAGAUGGGUAAAUUGAGGUAAUCAAUCGAACUUUAGGGAAUAUAUUGUGCUGUGCUUGCAAUGACAAGCAACACAAUUAAUAGGAAAUAGCAUUGCCUCAUGAUGAGUUUUUUUUACAACAACAUGGUUAAUAGAUAUAUUAAUGGCAAGGCACCUUUGAGAUUGUAUAUACUUAUUUCUCCAUGUUAUGUUUUAAUUUGCAUGAACUAUCAACAGUACCUGGAGGGAGCAAAAUAGCGGACAAUAUGUCAGAAAAGCAAUGUAGAUUCAUAUUGAGGUGCGAGCUCACUUAGAAGCAACUGAUGUGAGUACAAGGUUGAUGUAGACAAGCAUUAGUGCAAGAACAUAUUUUAGGAGGGAGAUUUGGUGAUGACAUAUUUGCGGCGGAAUUAAUUUCCUGGGAUUCAUAUCAAACUGGGGAAGCGAAAGUAUGGAUUAUUUCGUUUGGCGUGGAAGAUUAAUGCUAAUAUUUUCUUGCUACCUUUACAAGAUAAUUGGAACAUUUCUCGAACCUUCAAUAUGUCUAAUCUAUUCAAGUACCAUCCAGAUGAUAAGGAG
RNAcentral lists this long non-coding RNA (1386 nucleotides) under Citrus x clementina. Its description in RNAcentral is "Citrus clementina (C. clementina) long non-coding RNA (CCLE_LNC004733)". Lineage: Eukaryota; Viridiplantae; Streptophyta; Magnoliopsida; Sapindales; Rutaceae. The record is from RNAcentral.